CAGAUAAGGAAGCUUGCUCCUUUUGACGUUAGCGGCGGACGGGUGAGUAACACGUGGGUAACCUACCUAUAAGACUGGGAUAACUUCGGGAAACCGGAGCUAAUACCGGAUAACAUUUGGAACCGCAUGGUUCUAAAGUGAAAGAUGGUUUUGCUAUCACUUAUAGAUGGACCCGCGCCGUAUUAGCUAGUUGGUAAGGUAACGGCUUACCAAGGCAACGAUACGUAGCCGACCUGAGAGGGUGAUCGGCCACACUGGAACUGAGACACGGUCCAGACUCCUACGGGAGGCAGCAGUAGGGAAUCUUCCGCAAUGGGCGAAAGCCUGACGGAGCAACGCCGCGUGAGUGAUGAAGGGUUUCGGCUCGUAAAACUCUGUUAUUAGGGAAGAACAAAUGUGUAAGUAACUGUGCACGUCUUGACGGUACCUAAUCAGAAAGCCACGGCUAACUACGUGCCAGCAGCCGCGGUAAUACGUAGGUGGCAAGCGUUAUCCGGAAUUAUUGGGCGUAAAGCGCGCGUAGGCGGUUUCUUAAGUCUGAUGUGAAAGCCCACGGCUCAACCGUGGAGGGUCAUUGGAAACUGGGAAACUUGAGUGCAGAAGAGGAAAGUGGAAUUCCAUGUGUAGCGGUGAAAUGCGCAGAGAUAUGGAGGAACACCAGUGGCGAAGGCGACUUUCUGGUCUGUAACUGACGCUGAUGUGCGAAAGCGUGGGGAUCAAACAGGAUUAGAUACCCUG
Molecule: ribosomal RNA, 738 nt
Filed under: Staphylococcus sp.
Lineage: Bacteria; Bacillati; Bacillota; Bacilli; Caryophanales; Staphylococcaceae
Description: bacterial SSU rRNA
Rfam family: Bacterial small subunit ribosomal RNA
Source: RNAcentral